AAAUUGAAGAGUUUGAUCAUGGCUCAGAUUGAACGCUGGCGGCAGGCCUAACACAUGCAAGUCGAACGGUAACAGGAAGCAGCUUGCUGCUUUGCUGACGAGUGGCGGACGGGUGAGUAAUGUCUGGGAAACUGCCUGAUGGAGGGGGAUAACUACUGGAAACGGUGGCUAAUACCGCAUAACGUCGCAAGACCAAAGAGGGGGACCUUCGGGCCUCUUGCCAUCAGAUGUGCCCAGAUGGGAUUAGCUUGUUGGUGAGGUAACGGCUCACCAAGGCGACGAUCCCUAGCUGGUCUGAGAGGAUGACCAGCCACACUGGAACUGAGACACGGUCCAGACUCCUACGGGAGGCAGCAGUGGGGAAUAUUGCACAAUGGGCGCAAGCCUGAUGCAGCCAUGCCGCGUGUAUGAAGAAGGCCUUCGGGUUGUAAAGUACUUUCAGCGGGGAGGAAGGUGUUGUGGUUAAUAACCGCAGCAAUUGACGUUACCCGCAGAAGAAGCACCGGCUAACUCCGUGCCAGCAGCCGCGGUAAUACGGAGGGUGCAAGCGUUAAUCGGAAUUACUGGGCGUAAAGCGCACGCAGGCGGUCUGUCAAGUCGGAUGUGAAAUCCCCGGGCUCAACCUGGGAACUGCAUUCGAAACUGGCAGGCUUGAGUCUUGUAGAGGGGGGUAGAAUUCCAGGUGUAGCGGUGAAAUGCGUAGAGAUCUGGAGGAAUACCGGUGGCGAAGGCGGCCCCCUGGACAAAGACUGACGCUCAGGUGCGAAAGCGUGGGGAGCAAACAGGAUUAGAUACCCUGGUAGUCCACGCCGUAAACGAUGUCUACUUGGAGGUUGUGCCCUUGAGGCGUGGCUUCCGGAGCUAACGCGUUAAGUAGACCGCCUGGGGAGUACGGCCGCAAGGUUAAAACUCAAAUGAAUUGACGGGGGCCCGCACAAGCGGUGGAGCAUGUGGUUUAAUUCGAUGCAACGCGAAGAACCUUACCUGGUCUUGACAUCCACAGAACUUUCCAGAGAUGGACUGGUGCCUUCGGGAACUGUGAGACAGGUGCUGCAUGGCUGUCGUCAGCUCGUGUUGUGAAAUGUUGGGUUAAGUCCCGCAACGAGCGCAACCCUUAUCCUUUGUUGCCAGCGGUUAGGCCGGGAACUCAAAGGAGACUGCCAGUGAUAAACUGGAGGAAGGUGGGGAUGACGUCAAGUCAUCAUGGCCCUUACGACCAGGGCUACACACGUGCUACAAUGGCGCAUACAAAGAGAAGCGACCUCGCGAGAGCAAGCGGACCUCAUAAAGUGCGUCGUAGUCCGGAUUGGAGUCUGCAACUCGACUCCAUGAAGUCGGAAUCGCUAGUAAUCGUGGAUCAGAAUGCCACGGUGAAUACGUUCCCGGGCCUUGUACACACCGCCCGUCACACCAUGGGAGUGGGUUGCAAAAGAAGUAGGUAGCUUAACCUUCGGGAGGGCGCUUACCACUUUGUGAUUCAUGACUGGGGUGAAGUCGUAACAAGGUAACCGUAGGGGAACCUGCGGUUGGAUCACCUCCUUACCUUAAAGAA
RNAcentral lists this ribosomal RNA (1552 nucleotides) under Salmonella enterica subsp. enterica serovar Senftenberg. RNAcentral describes it as "bacterial SSU rRNA". It matches the Rfam family "Bacterial small subunit ribosomal RNA". The record is from RNAcentral. Lineage: Bacteria; Pseudomonadati; Pseudomonadota; Gammaproteobacteria; Enterobacterales; Enterobacteriaceae.